GUUGUUUAAUCUAUUUUAGGGCAGGUAAAACCUUAGCCAUUUGUCUGCCAAUAAACUUGAAGUCUAUGGCUUGUAGGCACAUCAACCUAUUGAAGUAUUCUGUUCUAUGAUUUUCAGUGUCUUCCGAGUGAUUUUUUUAUUUGCAAGCUUGUUGUUUGAUGAAGCCACCAAUCUGGUUAACUACAUGCUUGAUUUGAGGGUGGAGAGAAGGCAUCCAUUGAAUCCUGUAGCAUGUGAGUUCGAGGAGUGUGGUGGACACAUGAAGUUAGCUGACACUCUUAAGGUUAUAUGUGAUAUUUACGACAAGUGUCCUGGGGAACAUACCUCUGCUGAACAGAGGAGAAUGGUUAGGGAAAGCAGUAACUUCUGAUGUGCUGUUCCUUAUGACUAUGCAUAUCUUUGCAGUGGAGAAUAUGGUAAAUUAUCCUGCUGAAAUUAUAUGGAGGGCCAAAUAACUGCACUUGACAAUAGCAUGAUGAUGAUGAACUCCUGAAUGAGUUAGGGAACUGGUGCUUGUGGAAAUGCCUGUGUGCGACGAGCUGGUGAUUCUGAUUUCCAAGGACUGCUGAAGAAUGAAGGGAAGGAGAGGUACGGUGUUCUGUACAAGCAGUGGCAGAAGAAUGCUGCCAAUUUCAGCAUUGACAGGCACUACCCAGUGCGGGAGCUACGGGACCGUGCUCAAAGCUGCUGGGAGAGGAUUCCAACACACGAGGGCAAGUCGGUACUUGUAUCUGAAGGUCAUUGGCCUGGCUGGAAACAAGUUGGGAGAUGUGAUUCCUGGCUCCAUCGCAAACCUUUCGAUGAGUAUGGAGUACUUGAGCAUAAGUAGCAACAUGCUACCAUAUUGUAAAGUGAAGGUAACAUAUUAUGAACAAACGUAUAAUAAUGUGAGAGUAAGUAAUGACCCGUAGCAACGCA
Setaria italica (foxtail millet) is the source of this 918-nucleotide long non-coding RNA. RefSeq lists it as uncharacterized. The record is from RefSeq and is a predicted model, not a curated record. Lineage: Eukaryota; Viridiplantae; Streptophyta; Magnoliopsida; Poales; Poaceae. The transcript is spliced from 2 exons.